This 970-nucleotide ribosomal RNA is filed under the name Serratia marcescens. RNAcentral's name for it is "bacterial SSU rRNA". It matches the Rfam family "Bacterial small subunit ribosomal RNA". Lineage: Bacteria; Pseudomonadati; Pseudomonadota; Gammaproteobacteria; Enterobacterales; Yersiniaceae. The record is from RNAcentral.
CACCGGGCUAACUCCGUGCCAGCAGUUUUAGAGUUUGGAACCUGGCUCAGAUUGAACGCUGGCGGCAGGCUUAACACAUGCAAGUCGAGCGGUAGCACAAGGGAGCUUGCUCCCUGGGUGACGAGCGGCGGACGGGUGAGUAAUGUCUGGGAAACUGCCUGAUGGAGGGGGAUAACUACUGGAAACGGUAGCUAAUACCGCAUAACGUCGCAAGACCAAAGAGGGGGACCUUCGGGCCUCUUGCCAUCAGAUGUGCCCAGAUGGGAUUAGCUAGUAGGUGGGGUAAUGGCUCACCUAGGCGACGAUCCCUAGCUGGUCUGAGAGGAUGACCAGCCACACUGGAACUGAGACACGGUCCAGACUCCUACGGGAGUACGGCAGCAGUGGGGAAUAUUGCACGAAUGGGCGCAAGCCUGAUGCAGCCAUGCCGCGUGUGUGAAGAAGGCCUUCGGGUUGUAAAGCACUUUCAGCGAGGAGGACAGGUGGUGAACUUAAUACGUUCAUCAAUUGACGUUACUCGCAGAACUGAAGCACCGGCUAACUCCGUGCCAGCAGCCCGUGCGGUAAUACGGAGGGUGCAAUCCCGCGUUAAUCGGAAUUACUGGGCGUAAAGCGCACGCAGGCGGUUUGUUAAGUCAGAUGUGAAAUCCCCGGGCUCAACCUGGGAACUGCAUUUGAAACUGGCAAGCUAGAGUCUCGUAGAGGGGGGUAGAAUUCCAGGUGUAGCGGUGAAAUGCGUAGAGAUCUGGAGGAAUACCGGUGGCGAAGGCGGCCCCCUGGACGAAGACUGACGCUCAGGUGCGAAAGCGUGGGGAGCAAACAGGAUUAGAUACCCUGGUAGUCCACGUUGUAAACGAUGUCGAUUUGGAGGUUGUGCCCUACACACCGCCCGUCACACCAUGGGAGUGGGUUGCAAAAGAAGUAGGUAGCUUAACCUUCGGGAGGGCGCUUACCACUUGGAUCCAUCCCC